RNAcentral lists this ribosomal RNA (2862 nucleotides) under Escherichia coli. RNAcentral describes it as "bacterial LSU rRNA". It matches the Rfam family "Bacterial large subunit ribosomal RNA". Lineage: Bacteria; Pseudomonadati; Pseudomonadota; Gammaproteobacteria; Enterobacterales; Enterobacteriaceae. The record is from RNAcentral.
GGGUUGUGAGGUUAAGCGACUAAGCGUACACGGUGGAUGCCCUGGCAGUCAGAGGCGAUGAAGGACGUGCUAAUCUGCGAUAAGCGUCGGUAAGGUGAUAUGAACCGUUAUAACCGGCGAUUUCCGAAUGGGGAAACCCAGUGUGUUUCGACACACUAUCAUUAACUGAAUCCAUAGGUUAAUGAGGCGAACCGGGGGAACUGAAACAUCUAAGUACCCCGAGGAAAAGAAAUCAACCGAGAUUCCCCCAGUAGCGGCGAGCGAACGGGGAGGAGCCCAGAGCCUGAAUCAGUGUGUGUGUUAGUGGAAGCGUCUGGAAAGGCGCGCGAUACAGGGUGACAGCCCCGUACACAAAAAUGCACAUACUGUGAGCUCGAUGAGUAGGGCGGGACACGUGGUAUCCUGUCUGAAUAUGGGGGGACCAUCCUCCAAGGCUAAAUACUCCUGACUGACCGAUAGUGAACCAGUACCGUGAGGGAAAGGCGAAAAGAACCCCGGCGAGGGGAGUGAAAAAGAACCUGAAACCGUGUACGUACAAGCAGUGGGAGCCUCUUUUAUGGGGUGACUGCGUACCUUUUGUAUAAUGGGUCAGCGACUUAUAUUCUGUAGCAAGGUUAACCGAAUAGGGGAGCCGAAGGGAAACCGAGUCUUAACUGGGCGUUAAGUUGCAGGGUAUAGACCCGAAACCCGGUGAUCUAGCCAUGGGCAGGUUGAAGGUUGGGUAACACUAACUGGAGGACCGAACCGACUAAUGUUGAAAAAUUAGCGGAUGACUUGUGGCUGGGGGUGAAAGGCCAAUCAAACCGGGAGAUAGCUGGUUCUCCCCGAAAGCUAUUUAGGUAGCGCCUCGUGAAUUCAUCUCCGGGGGUAGAGCACUGUUUCGGCAAGGGGGUCAUCCCGACUUACCAACCCGAUGCAAACUGCGAAUACCGGAGAAUGUUAUCACGGGAGACACACGGCGGGUGCUAACGUCCGUCGUGAAGAGGGAAACAACCCAGACCGCCAGCUAAGGUCCCAAAGUCAUGGUUAAGUGGGAAACGAUGUGGGAAGGCCCAGACAGCCAGGAUGUUGGCUUAGAAGCAGCCAUCAUUUAAAGAAAGCGUAAUAGCUCACUGGUCGAGUCGGCCUGCGCGGAAGAUGUAACGGGGCUAAACCAUGCACCGAAGCUGCGGCAGCGACGCUUAUGCGUUGUUGGGUAGGGGAGCGUUCUGUAAGCCUGUGAAGGUGUACUGUGAGGUAUGCUGGAGGUAUCAGAAGUGCGAAUGCUGACAUAAGUAACGAUAAAGCGGGUGAAAAGCCCGCUCGCCGGAAGACCAAGGGUUCCUGUCCAACGUUAAUCGGGGCAGGGUGAGUCGACCCCUAAGGCGAGGCCGAAAGGCGUAGUCGAUGGGAAACAGGUUAAUAUUCCUGUACUUGGUGUUACUGCGAAGGGGGGACGGAGAAGGCUAUGUUGGCCGGGCGACGGUUGUCCCGGUUUAAGCGUGUAGGCUGGUUUUCCAGGCAAAUCCGGAAAAUCAAGGCUGAGGCGUGAUGACGAGGCACUACGGUGCUGAAGCAACAAAUGCCCUGCUUCCAGGAAAAGCCUCUAAGCAUCAGGUAACAUCAAAUCGUACCCCAAACCGACACAGGUGGUCAGGUAGAGAAUACCAAGGCGCUUGAGAGAACUCGGGUGAAGGAACUAGGCAAAAUGGUGCCGUAACUUCGGGAGAAGGCACGCUGAUAUGUAGGUGAAGCGACUUGCUCGUGGAGCUGAAAUCAGUCGAAGAUACCAGCUGGCUGCAACUGUUUAUUAAAAACACAGCACUGUGCAAACACGAAAGUGGACGUAUACGGUGUGACGCCUGCCCGGUGCCGGAAGGUUAAUUGAUGGGGUUAGCGGUAACGCGAAGCUCUUGAUCGAAGCCCCGGUAAACGGCGGCCGUAACUAUAACGGUCCUAAGGUAGCGAAAUUCCUUGUCGGGUAAGUUCCGACCUGCACGAAUGGCGUAAUGAUGGCCAGGCUGUCUCCACCCGAGACUCAGUGAAAUUGAACUCGCUGUGAAGAUGCAGUGUACCCGCGGCAAGACGGAAAGACCCCGUGAACCUUUACUAUAGCUUGACACUGAACAUUGAGCCUUGAUGUGUAGGAUAGGUGGGAGGCUUUGAAGUGUGGACGCCAGUCUGCAUGGAGCCGACCUUGAAAUACCACCCUUUAAUGUUUGAUGUUCUAACGUUGGCCCCUGAUCGGGGUUGCGGACAGUGUCUGGUGGGUAGUUUGACUGGGGCGGUCUCCUCCUAAAGAGUAACGGAGGAGCACGAAGGUUGGCUAAUCCUGGUCGGACAUCAGGAGGUUAGUGCAAUGGCAUAAGCCAGCUUGACUGCGAGCGUGACGGCGCGAGCAGGUGCGAAAGCAGGUCAUAGUGAUCCGGUGGUUCUGAAUGGAAGGGCCAUCGCUCAACGGAUAAAAGGUACUCCGGGGAUAACAGGCUGAUACCGCCCAAGAGUUCAUAUCGACGGCGGUGUUUGGCACCUCGAUGUCGGCUCAUCACAUCCUGGGGCUGAAGUAGGUCCCAAGGGUAUGGCUGUUCGCCAUUUAAAGUGGUACGCGAGCUGGGUUUAGAACGUCGUGAGACAGUUCGGUCCCUAUCUGCCGUGGGCGCUGGAGAACUGAGGGGGGCUGCUCCUAGUACGAGAGGACCGGAGUGGACGCAUCACUGGUGUUCGGGUUGUCAUGCCAAUGGCACUGCCCGGUAGCUAAAUGCGGAAGAGAUAAGUGCUGAAAGCAUCUAAGCACGAAACUUGCCCCGAGAUGAGUUCUCCCUGAGACUUUAAGUCUCCUGAAGGAACGUUGAAGACGACGACGUUGAUAGGCCGGGUGUGUAA